GGCUCAGAACGAACGCUGGUAGCGUGGAUUAGGCAUGCAAGUCGAACGGGAUCCAUGAAGUAGCAAUACGGAUUGGUGAGAGUGGCGGAAGGGCGAGGAACACGUGAGCAACCUGUCCUUGAGGUGGGGAAAACCGUUGGAAACGACGGCUAAUACCGAAUGUGGCGCCCGGAGACAUCUCCGGAGCGCUAAAGGGGGCCGCAAGGCUCUCCCUCUUCGAGGGGCUCGCGCACCAUCAGCUUGUUGGCGGGUAACGGCCCACCAAGGCUUACGGUUAGCUGGUCUGAGAGGAUGGCCAGCCGCACUGGGACUGAGAUACUGCCCAGACUCCUACGGGAGGCUGCAGUCGAGGAUCAUUCGCAAUGGGGGAAACCCUGACGAUGCGACGCUGCGUGGAGGAAUGAAGGCCUUCGGGUUGUAAACUCCUGUCAUGAUGGAAAAGGAGAGGGGACCCAACACGUCCCUUAUUUGAUGGUACAUCAAGAGGAAGAGACGGCUAACUCUGUGCCAGCCGCGGC
RNAcentral lists this ribosomal RNA (518 nucleotides) under uncultured bacterium. Its description in RNAcentral is "bacterial SSU rRNA". It matches the Rfam family "Bacterial small subunit ribosomal RNA", at positions 21 to 518 of the family's 1533-position model. The record is from RNAcentral.